This is a non-coding RNA of Coturnix japonica (Japanese quail), 2828 nucleotides long. The record is from RefSeq and is a predicted model, not a curated record. NCBI's taxonomy places the organism in Eukaryota, Metazoa, Chordata, Aves, Galliformes, Phasianidae.
GCUCAGGUGCAUGCAAUGUGCCUGAGUGACCAGAAGGGGUGGAGCCAGGCUCCACCCCUUCCCAGAGCUCUUUUAAGGGUUGGCAGUGGGUGUCAUGGGUAUUUUGCUGGGUACUUUGCAGUGUACCUGAGGCCUUCUGAAGAAGAUGAAAUUUCAAAUGCUACUGUCAAUGCAAAUGUUUCUGCAUCCACACAAAAAACUGAGGAGGAAGCUUUGAACACAACCACCUUAAGAGCAACGACACCGCUAGCAACAGAGCUGACAACCACUACAGCCUCAACUAUGACCAUGUCCAUCACAACAAGGUACAAUACAACUACUUCUGCUAAUGCCACAGAAAGUACAACACAGCAUACAACUGCGCAGCAGCCAGCACAGGUGACCACUACGGCAAGAACUGAAAGUGAGAACACAACAAAUGCUGUGCAAGUGCAUGGAACACAGUCUGCACAAAAUGAGAGUUUGAGUGCUACAACUACUAAGAUGGGGACUUUGACUCCUACAGCCUCUUUACAAGUAAACACUACUGCUUCUGGAACCUCAGUCCUUUCUGUGAGCACCCUGCUAAUACCAACAGAUUCUGGCAGUACUGCAAACAGUUCCGAAAAAACGAAAGCAUUGGAGGAUACUAUCCAUUACUCUAGCGUUAUCCUGCCCGUUGUCAUUGCCUUGAUUGUCAUUACACUCUCCACCUUCUCGCUGGUGGCCUUGUACAGAGUGUGCAACAAGAAAACUCCAGACAGACAAGAGAACGGCACAGAACAGGCCCAGUCAGAUAAAGAAGGUGUAAAACUUCUGUCUGUGAAGACAACUUCUGCUGAGACUGUAUACUGGGACGAAUCUGGAGCUGCUGCAGAAGAUUAUUCCUCUUCAGUUUCUCUUACGCUGAGCACAUCCAAGCAUGGACCAUGACUUUUAAGCAGGAGCCAGGUGCACGCAUCCAGCUGUGUCUCUGUCACUGAAGCUUCCCUUGCAGCCUCCUCUCCCUUGCCAGAUAAGCAGAGCAGGUCAGCAGAGAGCAGCUUGCUGAUAUGCUGCAUGCUUGUGAGAGGAGAGAAUUCAUCUCAGGGGAAGAAUAAAACUCGACAAUGUGAUGAUUCCUCUUCAAACUUCAGCAAUAAAUAUAUGUGAAGCAGCCUGGUUUAAGACAACGUGCAGGAACAUCCCACCAAGGUUGCAAUGCCACAGGAGCUGUGGAGCAGCUGAAGCUUUUUGCCAGGCAGGACACUUGUGCUAAUGACCAGCCCUUGACUUCUAAGCCUCAAGUGCCUCCUGUCCCUUCUGGAACGAUGUGCUUUUUUGAUGGCUUAAUAACUGGUAUAUCAUGUGUAUUUAUUAUGUUCUCAUAUAGUAGAAGCAGGAAAACUCUCAAGAAGGUUGAAGAGCGUGUUUGCAUAGUCAUUAUUACAAGAAUCUUCUGCACAUGCAGGAAGGAAUAUGUUAGCAUACUUUGUUGAACUUACGGUAUUUAGGGUUCUUUUAAUUGUAUGUAGCAAAAUACAAACAUGGCCUGACCCUUGAAACAUUACUGGGCCAACUGCCACAGUGGAAGUUAAUUCAGUGGUUUCCUGGAGACUCCUCACUGAAGCACAUGCUUUACUUGUCAUAAAUGUUUACAGGAUGGGAUGCCUGGGUGAAAUGCUGAAGCGUGUGCUUUAUUUCUGUGAAGGGGGUGAAUAUGCUUUGCACUGAUGUUUGUGUUCUUGUUUUGUUUUUUGAAAUUCUAUGAAUUGCUGAAUAUGGUCCUUGUGAUGUAGCAGACAACACAGUUAAUUUUUUUCCUGUUCCUUGGCUAGCCACUGCAUUGUGCAUGCUGUGAAUGACUCCUCUGAGCUGAGGUGCACAGUGGGGAUCAGCAGGAAAAGCAAUUCUGCAGCUGAACCCUGUAUUUGGAGUAAUACAUGAGAUUCCUGGUGGCUACCAAAUAAUGCUGGAAGUUUAAGGAGUGUUUAAGUGAUGAUGACAGACUCUUAAUUUGUACAGAGCUGAUGCUGCAAAAAUAUCAAGUAGUGCUUCUACCUGCAUGUAUCCUACUCUGCUAGAACUGUAAAUGUUCAAAAAUUGUAUUAAUGUGAGCAUCUGCUCAGCCCCAAUCCGCUGACUCUGGCAGUGUGCUGAGAAGCUCCAUUGUUGUUUUGGGGAAAGGACAGGAGACAGUUGGGGUUGCAAAUGUGGGGCUGAGAGCCAGGCCAGCAAUUUGUGUUGUGAUACCAUUGAUGAAAUGCUUUUGAGGAAACUUCUCCCCCCAAUUUCCCUCUGUGGGUAGAUAAAACUUAAGUAGCAGUAUGGCAAGAUAUUGAAUGGAUUUGUUAGUCCAUAUUUAUGCACAAAGAUAAAGUGUUAAUUUCCCUACUUUUGACUGUUGCUCUUAUUUCAUCAGUGAUGGAUCUAAUCCUCUGUCUUAGCAGCACCAAGAGAAAUUGUGAUGAAGUUUUGUAAAAGUUGAGAAAUGAACAAGGCCUCUCCAUGCUGUAGCUAAACUUCUAUGGUCUGUUCAGGUGCUCCUGGAUCACUUGGGUUGCUGCAAAGCAGAGAAGUUGUGCUUUAGAAAGGUCAGGCCUAAAAUAUACCAGAUAGCAUCUGGACCAACUCAGAUUCCUGAUUGCUGAAGUUUCCAAUGAAAAAAAGAAAGCAAUCAUUGUGCAUAUUGAUGUUGAUUUUAAAAUAUUUCUGUAGCAUGUUGCAUCCUACUGAGAGGACAGUAGAAAAGACCAGAGAAACAUUACAAAAAAUAUGUGUAUGUGUAAAAUUCGUUCAGUACAUCAUCCUCCAUGAUGUGUCAAGGAGAGAAAACAACUUCCUAUUAAAAGUUAUUAUGUUUAUUAAAA